This is an RNA transcript of Zingiber officinale, 2488 nucleotides long. It is a transcript of the gene named transcription factor bHLH76-like, with no coding region annotated. NCBI's taxonomy places the organism in Eukaryota, Viridiplantae, Streptophyta, Magnoliopsida, Zingiberales, Zingiberaceae. The transcript has 9 exons. The record is from RefSeq and is a predicted model, not a curated record.
AUUUCCUUGGAAUAAAGAGAACGGUGGCGAUGGUGCUUCUUCCUCUGCCCCCCUUCGCUCGUAGAUCGCACUGGGCGGUGGUCAAUCAAUGAUGAUUCAACCUCUCUCCUUCUCUCUGAUGCGGCAGCGUUGAGGUAUAAAUGCAGCAAUCAUCUCUCCUCUCUCUCCUCAUCUCCUCCUCCUCCCUCACGGGCACCUCCUUUGUUGCACCUGUACCUCCCUCGGCGCGAUAUUAGCCUGCGAGGGCAGAAGAAGACACGGAGGGGGGAAAAGGACAAAUUGGAGCGAGCUCGAUUUGUCCGGAAGCAUUCUAGGGCAAAAGCCGCGUUUUUGACGGAGGCGGGGAGAUUAAAGGUGGGGGAAUAUCUCGAGCGGGCAUCUUCGCUUUCCGGAUUCUGGGUCGGGGCGCUCGAGUGGGGGAAAAGGUGCGAUCUUUGAUGCGAUGGCUUGAGUUCUGCUGCUGUUCCCGUCUUGCUCGCUGAUACAGUGAUAGAUCUGAAGUGGAAGAUAAAGUUAUAAUCUUGUUCUUGUUUCUGGGACAAAGUAAGGAUAAAUCGUUUACUGUAGCCGUGUCUGAAGAUCCACUGCCAAGGUUGGAGACAUCGAUCGACAUGAAUGAGAACAAGUUUGUGUUGAAUAGCCAUCAUGAUGGCGGUGAAUGGCAAUUUAACACCCCUGCGAUGAGCAUGGUGCCGCUGCUGCCGAACGCCCCUUCUCUUGCAGGCGGCCUCAUGAAUCAGAUAACUCGAUCGUCGUAUCUUUCGACUCCUAUGGUGGAGGUCUUUAGCCCUGGUCAAUGGAACCACCACCCUACUAGUUCACCAAACAUGGCCCUUGGAGAAAGCAAUUUCGCAAGCACGAGCUCCAUCAACAGCAUACCAGUUGGAAAACCAGUAGCAAUAUCACCCAGAGGGAUGCUAGUAUCGACUGAACCGAGAAUUUUCCCCACCAGCCUGCCUCAUUUCCCUGUUGAUUCAGCUUUUGUCGAGAGGGCAGCAAGGUUCUCAUGUUUUGGUAGUGGUAAUUUUAGCGGCAUAAACUUCUUCGGUUCGUCUCCAGCAAUGGCUCCUUCAAACAAUGAAGGCAUUGGGGAUCAGGUUCAGAAGGAUGAAUUGCUGCAAGUGGAUCAUGAAUCGUUUAAUGGAAGCACAAUGAAAAACCAAGGAGACCAAAACUCUCAGAUCGGCAAUGGUGAAUCGCGUGUGGUGAUUUUUCCUGAAGAUGGCCUAGAAGGAAAUACUGGUUCAACUGAUGCAGCUUUAAAUUCAUCGUCUAGUGACCGUGGAGUGAAUAAGAGGAGAAAAACCGUACCGGAUAUUGAAAGGGAUCCAGUGCAAGGAGGCCGGCAAUCUUCCUCAGAAACCACAAAGGAGAACAUUGAGAAUAAACAAAAAGUAGAGCAGAUCAAUUCUAAACAAACCGAAAAGAAUGGGAAAGAUAACUCAGAAUUUGUCAAGGAGGGCUACGUACAUGUUAGAGCACGGCGUGGACAAGCAACUAACAGUCACAGCCUUGCAGAAAGAGUAAGGAGGGAAAAAAUAAGUGAAAGGAUGAAGUAUCUUCAAGAACUCGUGCCGGGCUGUAGCAAGGUCACCGGAAAGGCAGUUAUGCUGGAUGAAAUCAUAAACUAUGUUCAGUCGCUCCAAAGGCAGGUAGAGUUUCUCUCGAUGAAGCUUGCAGCUGUGAAUCCACAACUAGACUUCGGCAUAGAAGGCCUUCUUGCUAAAAAUCUUCUACGUGCACACGGUAGUUCCUCAUCAGCAACAGGAUUCUCGCCGGAGAUGAUAUAUCCACAAGCAUAUCCAUCUCAGCACAAUUUGGUACACACUGGAAUUUCUGCAAUGGCUAGCCAUUCAGACACAUUUAGGAGAGCAAUAAGUACACAAUCGACGGCAAGUGGUUAUAAAGAAUCUCCACUGCAGGUUCAACCGAUGCACAUCCCUUGGAAUGAAGAGCUCAUCACACAAAUGGCAUACGGUGCCAAUCCUUCCAAUCCGCAGAACAUGGAUAGUAAAGCUGAUGACUUUGCCAUAUAGAACGAUCACUAUUCAUGCGGUGAUGCUCAGUCCCUAUGCAUCCUAGCUUCCUACCAAGUGGUUACCUAGAUGCUCAAGUUCAAUAAAAUUCCCUGUGCAUAUAUAUAUCUUCCAAUAUAUGCGGAACUGUUGUAUGGCUUGUAGGGUUUGAUCAUCUGGAUAAGAGGUAAUAGGAGAUGGAAUGAAGCACGGCGAGUCGUGUGUGUAUUCACUAUUAAAUCGUAAGGGGGCUCGCGAAGGAGAUCCGACCAAGAUCUGCUGGUGGUUGGCCUUGGACCACCAUGAACAUAAUUGCCUCCAAAAAGACUCUUUAAUAUCUGUUAUUGGUGACUUUUGCUCAGUCUUUUGGUUAAGAAACAAGUGAUAGAUUUGUUGUUAAUUGAGUUGGACCAUCAGUAGUUGCUGUUGCUGCUGUUCUCAGUUUUGAGUGCAUGCAAUUAUUUCUUCUCUUA